GAUGAACGCUGGCGGCGUGCCUAAUACAUGCAAGUCGAGCGAACAGACGAGGAGCUUGCUCCUCUGACGUUAGCGGCGGACGGGUGAGUAACACGUGGAUAACCUACCUAUAAGACUGGGAUAACUUCGGGAAACCGGAGCUAAUACCAGAUAAUAUAUUGAACCGCAGGGUUCAAUAGUGAAAGACGGCUUUGCUGUCACUAAUAGAUGGAUCCGCGCCGCAUUAGCUAGUUGGUAAGGUAACGGCUUACCAAGGCUACGAUGCGUAGCCGACCUGAGAGGCUGAUCGGCCACACUGGAACUGAGACACGGUCCAGACUCCUACGGGAGGCAGCAGUAGGGAAUAUUCCGCAAUGGGCGAAAGCGUGACGGAGCAACGCCGCGUGAGUGAAGAAGGUCUUCGGAUCGUAAAACUCUGUUAUUAGGGAAGAACAAAUGUGGAAGUAACUAUGCACGUCUUGACGGUACCUAAUCAGAAAGCAACGGCUAACUACGUG
RNAcentral lists this ribosomal RNA (497 nucleotides) under uncultured bacterium. Its description in RNAcentral is "partial 16S ribosomal RNA". It matches the Rfam family "Bacterial small subunit ribosomal RNA", at positions 28 to 507 of the family's 1533-position model. The record is from RNAcentral.